AUGCUGGUGAAGCGGUGGUCCAUGGUGCCUUCAUCGUUGUCGUCCUCGGCAGAAGGUGAGGCCAAGAUGGAUCUCAACAUUCUCUGUGAGAUUCUCAUCCAUGGAAGAUGCAGAAGAAAAACUCAUGCAAAUCGAACGAAGAAGAGAAGAGGAAGGAUCUUGAGGAAGAGGAAAAAACAAGGCAAUGGGACUGUUGACCGGGUACAAGAGCUUCUUCAGAAAACCCAUGCUGCUUUUCUAAAUCGCAAUUUUGUUCAAGGUAAAACCAGCCAAGCCGGAGACUACUACAACCCUUUUUGCAAUAUAUAG
RNAcentral lists this ribosomal RNA (309 nucleotides) under Triticum aestivum (bread wheat). RNAcentral's name for it is "partial small subunit ribosomal RNA". Lineage: Eukaryota; Viridiplantae; Streptophyta; Magnoliopsida; Poales; Poaceae. The record is from RNAcentral.